CCCCUAGAUGUUCUGGGCCGCACGCGCGCUACACUGAACAGUUCAACAAGUCUUAACCUUGGCCGAUAGGUCUGGGUAAUCUUUGAACGCUGUUCGUGAUUGGGAUAGACCUUUGCAAUUAUGGGUCUUCAACGAGGAAUUCCUAGUAAACGCAAGUCAUCAGCUUGCAUUGAUUACGUCCCUGCCCUUUGUACACACCGCCCGUCGCACCUACCGAUUGAACGGUCCGGUGAAAUCUCGGGACGGCGGCUUGGUCGCUUGCGUCCGACUGCUGAAACUUGAUUAAACCAUAUCAUUUAGAGGAAGGUGAANUCGUANCA
RNAcentral lists this ribosomal RNA (320 nucleotides) under uncultured eukaryote. RNAcentral's name for it is "partial 18S ribosomal RNA". It matches the Rfam family "Eukaryotic small subunit ribosomal RNA", at positions 1470 to 1796 of the family's 1831-position model. The record is from RNAcentral.